UCCCCGGUAGCUCAAUUGGUAGAGCGGCGGGCUGUUAACCCGUAGGUUGUGGGUUCGAGACCCACCCGGGGAGCCA
Molecule: transfer RNA, 76 nt
Filed under: Candidatus Stahliibacteriota bacterium
Lineage: Bacteria; Candidatus Stahliibacteriota
Description: tRNA-Asn
Rfam family: tRNA
About the family: Transfer RNA (tRNA) molecules are approximately 80 nucleotides in length. Their secondary structure includes four short double-helical elements and three loops (D, anti-codon, and T loops).
Source: RNAcentral